GAAAACUUCCCGCCGAAGUGUUUCAAAUAGCACUUUGUCUUCAAACGAACAAAAUGGACACAUGCAGUUUACAGAAGCAAAAGAUUUGAUUUGAACUGUUCGUGAAACCACACAUACUCAAGAGAAUUUACAAGACUAUUAUCCACAAAAUGCAACAGUCUUAUUUUGAUGAAUUGCUGAACCAGAGAAAUGUGAAGACUUACAGACACCUAGACUGUAUAGUCAACAUAACAAUGAUUAGAGAAUCAGACUACAGUGAAUAUUACAAUGAUUAGAAAAUCAGACUAGAGUCAACAUUACAAUGAUUAGAGAAUCAGACUAUAGUCAACAUUACAAUGAUAAUUUUGAUUAGAAAAUCAGCCAGCUGCAUUUCAUCAAUCAGUUUAUGAUGAAGCUUUACAGCAUUGGAAAUGAUUACUCAGGGACCAAACAACUGAGCAGAAAGAAGAUCCGUAUGACCUUGAAGAG
Mytilus trossulus (common blue mussel) is the source of this 468-nucleotide long non-coding RNA. RefSeq lists it as uncharacterized. Lineage: Eukaryota; Metazoa; Mollusca; Bivalvia; Mytilida; Mytilidae. The record is from RefSeq and is a predicted model, not a curated record. The transcript is spliced from 3 exons.